Molecule: ribosomal RNA, 406 nt
Filed under: uncultured bacterium
Lineage: Bacteria
Description: bacterial SSU rRNA
Rfam family: Bacterial small subunit ribosomal RNA
Source: RNAcentral
GUGGGGAAUAUUGCGCAAUGGGCGGAAGCCUGACGCAGCGACGCCGCGUGGGGGAUGAAGGCCUUCGGGUUGUAAACCUCUUUCGGCAGGGACGAAGGUGACGUGUACCUGCGGAAGAAGCGCCGGCUAACUACGUGCCAGCAGCCGCGGUAAUACGUAGGGCGCGAGCGUUGUCCGGAAUUAUUGGGCGUAAAGAGCUCGUAGGCGGCUGGUCGCGUCUGCCGUGAAAGCCCGCGGCUUAACCGUGGGUCUGCGGUGGAUACGGGCCGGCUAGAGGCAGGCAGGGGCAAGUGGAAUUCCUGGUGUAGCGGUGAAAUGCGCAGAUAUCAGGAGGAACACCGGUGGCGAAGGCGGCUUGCUGGGCCUGUCCUGACGCUGAGGAGCGAAAGCGUGGGGAGCGAACAGG